This 127-nucleotide small nucleolar RNA is filed under the name Takifugu rubripes (torafugu). RNAcentral's name for it is "Small nucleolar RNA SNORA65 (ENSTRUG00000019457.3)". It matches the Rfam family "Small nucleolar RNA SNORA65". From Rfam's summary of the family: U65 belongs to the H/ACA class of snoRNAs which are thought to guide the sites of modification of uridines to pseudouridines. Lineage: Eukaryota; Metazoa; Chordata; Actinopteri; Tetraodontiformes; Tetraodontidae. The record is from Rfam by way of RNAcentral.
CCCGCCACUAUACCAGUCUGCCAGGGUGACUGGCUGUAAUCCAGUGGAGGCUCAGAUUGACCCAGCUUUAGGAAACAGGGCUGCCCAGCCUAGUGGGCAUCUCUGUGCCGAAAAGUCUGGAACAUGU